AAGCUUAUCCCGCCGGUUGGCGGGACAACUCCUUACCCAAAUUGGCGGAGGCGCGUUGAUCCCGACCGCUUGGGUUCUUUUUUUCGAUUGAGGAGUUAAAGUUGGUUUAUGGUCUUUAAACCAUCAUCACUGACCCAGGAUCGCCAUAGUGAAUACGCCUGGGAUAUGGCUGG
This 173-nucleotide ribosomal RNA is filed under the name Monosporascus cannonballus. RNAcentral describes it as "5.8S ribosomal RNA". The record is from RNAcentral. Lineage: Eukaryota; Fungi; Ascomycota; Sordariomycetes; Xylariales.